UCGAAUCCUCUCUGUAUCCCUAUUUGGUACUCUAGGUUCUAAUUCUCAACAACCAAACUCUAAUAGUUACGAUAAUUUAACAAAAUAGAUUAAGUCCAAUUCCUUUUAUCUAAUAAAGUACCCUAAUUCCUUAGGCAAAACUAAUAUUAUCAAAAGCGUUAUUGAACGUUAAAUUCUCAAUCAUACCAACUAAUUCUUUAUUCCUAAAGCAAUUACGAUUGGCAAACAAUUAAUUUAGUUCUAGUAAU
This 248-nucleotide long non-coding RNA is filed under the name Trifolium pratense (red clover). RNAcentral describes it as "long non-coding RNA (TPRA_LNC005150)". Lineage: Eukaryota; Viridiplantae; Streptophyta; Magnoliopsida; Fabales; Fabaceae. The record is from RNAcentral.